RNAcentral lists this ribosomal RNA (600 nucleotides) under uncultured Actinomycetes bacterium. Its description in RNAcentral is "bacterial SSU rRNA". It matches the Rfam family "Bacterial small subunit ribosomal RNA", at positions 252 to 866 of the family's 1533-position model. Lineage: Bacteria; Bacillati; Actinomycetota; Actinomycetes. The record is from RNAcentral.
GUGAGGUAAUGGCCCACCAAGGCAUCGACGGGUAGCUGGUCUGAGAGGACGAUCAACCACACUGGGACUGAGACACGGCCCAGACUCCUACGGGAGGCAGCAGUGGGGAAUCUUGCGCAAUGGGCGAAAGCCUGACGCAGCAACGCCGCGUGGGGGAAGAAGGCUCUCGGGUCGUAAACCCCUUUCAGCAGGGACGAAAAUGACGGUACCUGCAGAAGAAGGACCGGCCAACUACGUGCCAGCAGCCGCGGUAAUACGUAGGGGGCAAGCGUUGUCCGGAUUUAUUGGGCGUAAAGAGCUCGUAGGCGGUUCGGUAAGUCGGGUGUGAAAACCCAAGGCUCAACCUUGGGACGCCACCCGAUACUGCUGUGACUAGAGUCCGGUAGAGGAGUGUGGAAUUCCUGGUGUAGCGGUGAAAUGCGCAGAUAUCAGGAGGAACACCUGCGGCGAAGGCGGCACUCUGGGCCGGUACUGACGCUGAGGAGCGAAAGCAUGGGGAGCAAACAGGAUUAGAUACCCUGGUAGUCCAUGCCGUAAACGUUGGGCACUAGGUAUGGGGUCUUAUCAACGGAUUCCGUGCCGUAGCUAACGCAUUAAGUG